Molecule: ribosomal RNA, 253 nt
Filed under: uncultured bacterium
Lineage: Bacteria
Description: partial 16S ribosomal RNA
Rfam family: Bacterial small subunit ribosomal RNA
Source: RNAcentral
UACGUAGGGUGCGAGCGUUAAUCGGAAUUACUGGGCGUAAAGCGGGCGCAGACGGUUCGUUAAGCAAGAUGUGAAAUCCCCGGGCUCAACCUGGGAACUGCGUUUUGAACUGGCGGACUAGAGUGUGUCAGAGGGGGGUAGAAUUCCACGUGUAGCAGUGAAAUGCGUAGAGAUGUGGAGGAAUACCGAUGGCGAAGGCAGCCCCCUGGGAUAACACUGACGUUCAUGCCCGAAAGCGUGGGUAGCAAACAGG